This 910-nucleotide ribosomal RNA is filed under the name uncultured bacterium. RNAcentral describes it as "bacterial SSU rRNA". It matches the Rfam family "Bacterial small subunit ribosomal RNA", at positions 33 to 911 of the family's 1533-position model. The record is from RNAcentral.
ACGCUGGCGGCGUGCCUAAUACAUGCAAGUCGAGCGAGCUGAAUUCAAAGAUCCCUUCGGGGUGAUUUGUUGGACGCUAGCGGCGGAUGGGUGAGUAACACGUGGGCAAUCUGCCCUAAAGACUGGGAUACCACUUGGAAACAGGUGCUAAUACCGGAUAACAACAUGAAUCGCAUGAUUCAAGUUUGAAAGGCGGCGCAAGCUGUCACUUUAGGAUGAGCCCGCGGCGCAUUAGCUAGUUGGUGGGGUAAAGGCCUACCAAGGCAAUGAUGCGUAGCCGAGUUGAGAGACUGAUCGGCCACAUUGGGACUGAGACACGGCCCAAACUCCUACGGGAGGCAGCAGUAGGGAAUCUUCCACAAUGGACGCAAGUCUGAUGGAGCAACGCCGCGUGAGUGAAGAAGGUUUUCGGAUCGUAAAGCUCUGUUGUUGGUGAAGAAGGAUAGAGGCAGUAACUGGUCUUUAUUUGACGGUAAUCAACCAGAAAGUCACGGCUAACUACGUGCCAGCAGCCGCGGUAAUACGUAGGCGGCAAGCGUUGUCCGGAUUUAUUGGGCGUAAAGCGAGCGCAGGCGGAAUGAUAAGUCUGAUGUGAAAGCCCACGGCUCAACCGUGGAACUGCAUCGGAAACUGUCAUUCUUGAGUGCAGAAGAGGAGAGUGGAACUCCAUGUGUAGCGGUGGAAUGCGUAGAUAUAUGGAAGAACACCAGUGGCGAAGGCGGCUCUCUGGUCUGCAACUGACGCUGAGGCUCGAAAGCAUGGGUAGCGAACAGGAUUAGAUACCCUGGUAGUCCAUGCCGUAAACGAUGAGCGCUAGGUGUUGGGGACUUUCCGGUCCUCAGUGCCGCAGCAAACGCAUUAAGCGCUCCGCCUGGGGAGUACGACCGCAAGGUUGAAACUCAAAGGAAUU